This 599-nucleotide ribosomal RNA is filed under the name bacterium enrichment culture clone F44x_D7_T3_E05. RNAcentral describes it as "bacterial SSU rRNA". It matches the Rfam family "Bacterial small subunit ribosomal RNA", at positions 34 to 620 of the family's 1533-position model. The record is from RNAcentral.
CGCUGGCGGCGCGCUUAACACAUGCAAGUCGAGCGAGAACCGGGGCUUCGGCCCCGGGGACAGCGGCGAACGGGUGAGUAACACGUGGGUAAUCUGCCCCCGGUUCUGGGAUAGCCCGGGGAAACCCGGAUUAAUACCGGAUAGCCUCUAGAGUCCUCGGACUCGUGAGAAAAGGUAGCUUCGGCCUCCGACCGAGGAGGAGCCUGCGGCGGAUUAGCUUGUUGGCGGGGUAACGGCCCACCAAGGCGACGAUCCGUAGCUGGUCUGAGAGGACGAUCAGCCACACUGGGACUGAGACACGGCCCAGACUCCUACGGGAGGCAGCAGUGGGGAAUCUUGCGCAAUGGGCGAAAGCCUGACGCAGCGACGCCGCGUGAGGGAAGAAGGCCUUCGGGUUGUAAACCUCUUUCAGGAGGGACGAAGCUACUCGGGUUAAUAGCCCAGAGGGUGACGGUACCUCCAGAAGAAGCCCCGGCUAACUACGUGCCAGCAGCCGCGGUAAUACGUAGGGGGCAAGCGUUGUCCGGAUUUAUUGGGCGUAAAGAGCGUGUAGGCGGCCAGGUAGGUCUGCUGUGAAAACUCGAGGCUCAACCUCGAGC